RNAcentral lists this ribosomal RNA (467 nucleotides) under uncultured bacterium. RNAcentral's name for it is "partial 16S ribosomal RNA". It matches the Rfam family "Bacterial small subunit ribosomal RNA", at positions 28 to 506 of the family's 1533-position model. The record is from RNAcentral.
GACGAACGCUGGCGGCGUGCUUAACACAUGCAAGUCGAACGGAAAGGCCCUGCUUUUGUGGGGUGCUCGAGUGGCGAACGGGUGAGUAACACGUGAGUAACCUGCCCUUGACGUUGGGAUAACUUCAGGAAACUGGGGCUAAUACCGGAUAGGAGCUCCUGCUGCAUGGUGGGGGUUGGAAAGUUUCGGCGGUUGGGGAUGGACUCGCGGCUUAUCAGCUUGUUGGUGGGGUAGUGGCUUACCAAGGCUUUGACGGGUAGCCGGCCUGAGAGGGUGACCGGCCACAUUGGGACUGAGAUACGGCCCAGACUCCUACGGGAGGCAGCAGUGGGGAAUAUUGCACAAUGGGCGGAAGCCUGAUGCAGCAACGCCGCGUGCGGGAUGACGGCCUUCGGGUUGUAAACCGCUUUCGCCUGUGACGAAGCGUGAGUGACGGUAAUGGGGAAAGAAGCACCGGCGAACUACGU